Molecule: ribosomal RNA, 492 nt
Filed under: uncultured bacterium
Lineage: Bacteria
Description: bacterial SSU rRNA
Rfam family: Bacterial small subunit ribosomal RNA
Source: RNAcentral
AGUCGACGGACUUACAUUGAAGCCUAGCGAUAUGUAAGUUAGUGGCGGACGGGUGAGUAACGCGUGGGUAACCUGCCUUGUACUGGGGGACAACAGUUGGAAACGACUGCUAAUACCGCAUAAGCGCACAGCUUCGCAUGAAGCAGUGUGAAAGACUCCGGUGGUACAAGAUGGACCCGCGUCUGAUUAGCUGGUUGGUGAGGUAACGGCCCACCAAGGCGACGAUCAGUAGCCGGCCUGAGAGGGUGAACGGCCACAUUGGGACUGAGACACGGCCCAAACUCCUACGGGAGGCAGCAGUGGGGAAUAUUGCACAAUGGGGGAAACCCUGAUGCAGCAACGCCGCGUGAGUGAAGAAGUAUUUCGGUAUGUAAAGCUCUAUCAGCAGGAAAGAAAAUGACGGUACCUGACUAAGAAGCCCCGGCUAACUACGUGCCAGCAGCCGCGGUAAUACGUAGGGGGCAAGCGUUAUCCGGAUUUACUGGGUGUAAA